This 240-nucleotide microRNA precursor is filed under the name Oryza sativa (Asian cultivated rice). RNAcentral describes it as "partial microRNA MIR438e-9 precursor". The stretch from base 19 to 222 matches the Rfam family "MIR812 microRNA precursor family". Lineage: Eukaryota; Viridiplantae; Streptophyta; Magnoliopsida; Poales; Poaceae. The record is from RNAcentral.
AUACUACCUCCGUCUCAAAAUAAAUGCAGCUAUGAGUUUCCGCGUCCAACUUUGAUCAUCCGUCUUAUUUGAAAUUUUUUAUAAUUAGCAUUUUUGUUGUUAUAAGAUGAUAAAACAUGAAUAAUAAUUUACUCGCGACUUAUGUUUUUAAUUUUUUUCAAAAAUUUUUCAAAUAAGACAAAUGGUCAAAGUUGGGCACGGAAAACUAUGGCUGUACUUAUUUUGGGACGGAGGGAGUAC